UACGAAGGGGGCUAGCGUUGCUCGGAAUUACUGGGCGUAAAGGGCGCGUAGGCGGACAGUUUAGUCAGAGGUGAAAGCCCUGGGCUCAACCCAGGAAGUGCAUUCGAUACUCCGAGGCUAGAGUACUGGAGAGGUGGGUGGAAUUCUCGGUGUAGAGGUGAAAUUCGUAGAUAUCGAGAGGAACACCGGCGGCGAAGGCGGCCCACUGGACAGAUACUGACGCUGAGACUCGAAAGCGUGGGGAGCAAACAGG
Molecule: ribosomal RNA, 253 nt
Filed under: uncultured bacterium
Lineage: Bacteria
Description: partial 16S ribosomal RNA
Rfam family: Bacterial small subunit ribosomal RNA
Source: RNAcentral